GCGAACGGGUGAGUAACACGUAAGUAACCAACCGAUUAGACGAGGAUAACUACUGGAAACGGUAGCUAAUACUGGAUAGGAUAUGGUCUCAUAAGGGACGAUAUUUAAAGGCGCUUCAAAGCGCCACUAAUUGCUGGGCUUGCGGCGCAUUAGAUAGUUGGUGAGGGUAACGGCCCACCAAGUCAACGAUGCGUAGCUGGGCUGAGAGGCCGAACAGCCACACUGGGACUGAGACACGGCCCAGACUCC
RNAcentral lists this ribosomal RNA (249 nucleotides) under uncultured bacterium. RNAcentral's name for it is "partial 16S ribosomal RNA". It matches the Rfam family "Bacterial small subunit ribosomal RNA", at positions 98 to 339 of the family's 1533-position model. The record is from RNAcentral.